AGUGAGAAUGAGAAUAAAAGUAAAAAUAAAAAUAAAAAUAAGAAUAAAAAUAAAAAUUAGAGUGGAAAUAAAAGUAUUAGAGUAAGAAUAAAAAUAAAAAUAAAAGUAAAAAUAAAAAUAAAAAUAAAAA
RNAcentral lists this small RNA (130 nucleotides) under Histoplasma capsulatum var. duboisii H88. RNAcentral describes it as "Histoplasma capsulatum H88 hypothetical RNA". Lineage: Eukaryota; Fungi; Ascomycota; Eurotiomycetes; Onygenales; Ajellomycetaceae. The record is from RNAcentral.